Rosa chinensis is the source of this 1039-nucleotide long non-coding RNA. RefSeq lists it as uncharacterized. Lineage: Eukaryota; Viridiplantae; Streptophyta; Magnoliopsida; Rosales; Rosaceae. The record is from RefSeq and is a predicted model, not a curated record. The transcript is spliced from 3 exons.
CUCUCAUUCUAAAACACACAUUCCUUGAUCCAUUUCAUCUCCUUGUCUCACCAUUUCCUCUCCAAUUUCCUUAGUUAUCACGUCCUCUCUUCUCAUUCUCUCACACAUCUCUUCCAUCACAUAUACACACCAUCCACUGCCCUAAAUCAGAAACCACACCUCCAUACUCUCCCCUUAUCAUAGCUCAUGAGAUCCCUACUCCAAGGAGAAGCCGUAGCCUCCAUCUUCCAUCAAAUCAUCUUCCAUCAUCUUGUCGUACUCCUACUUUGAAGACGCCUCAAGCUUUCUUGAAGAAUAAUCAAAGGUAAUUUUGUGCGCUUAAUUCAGGCGUACCACUAGCCUAGCAUAUUAACUAUGUUUUGAUCUUGUGUUUCUCAAGCAACAUACUCACUGGAUACGGUCCCAGUACCAUCAGCAACUUAUCUUGAUGAGAACAUGAGUUGUAGGACUGUUACAUGUUUUCUACAACGUAUUGUAUGUGCUUGAUUGAGAUGGCAAGGCAAGCUGGGCCAACUGAGACUGGAAGUUGUCCCAAGUAAGAGGAAACUAAUCAACAUGCAAAAAGUUGCGAAGAAGUUAUGUGGCAGAAUGUGUAGUUGGUGGAUUUUGUACCACACAUGUAUUCCCACCUAGCUUUGAAUUAAGGAAGGUCUAGAGGACCUAGGACCUAGGUGCUUUUGGAUACCAAUAUCCAGUUUUACACAUGUAUUCCCACCUAGCUUUGAAUGAAGGAAGGUCUAGAGGACCUGGGUGCUUUUGGAUACCAAUAUCCAACUUUCCAUGUAAGCUUCUUUGGUUUCUUUCGCUCAGAUGGCAAGGCAAGCUACAAUGAAAUCAGUGCUUGAAGUCAUUCUAGACCAUAAACUAGGUAUACUAUUAUACUCUUAAGAAAUGUAUAAAGCAAACAAACCUGCGGCAUCGUGCUGGAGGUAUUACUUAGUUUAUUUUAUUUUGAUGUUUGAUUUUAACUUCAUAUUUUACAAUCCAUAAUUAUUUGUAUGAAUUUUUAUAUAAUAAAUUAGUAAUAUUGUUAACGGGG